This 399-nucleotide transfer-messenger RNA is filed under the name Odoribacter sp. OttesenSCG-928-G04. It matches the Rfam family "transfer-messenger RNA". Rfam says of the family: Bacterial tmRNA, also known as 10Sa RNA or SsrA, is named for its dual tRNA and mRNA-like properties. The record is from RNAcentral. Lineage: Bacteria; Pseudomonadati; Bacteroidota; Bacteroidia; Bacteroidales; Odoribacteraceae.
GGGGCAGACAUGGCUUUGACAGCAUGUAGAAUUGGUAUGUAAGCAUGUCGGGCGUAGUGAAGCCGGCCCGUAAAUCCCGGACGCAAAACUAUAAUUGGCGAAAAUAAUUACGCUCUUGCUGCCUAAUCGAAGCACAGUAGAUGUGGCUUAAUCUCUGCUCAAGGAGUAGAGACAGGACAUCCCACCGGUGGUUAUGCCUUAUUCCGGCCGGUAUGCGGGGUGCAGUCAAUAUGAGGAUAGUCUGGACCUGCUUCGGGUUUUAGAUGAAAAUUUAGAAGAUAAGAUGUAGUUUGGAUGCUUUUUUCCGGCCUGCAUUCGAAAACCAACAAAAAGCUAAGCAUGUAGAAAGCAUAUGAAUUGCGUGUUUGGACCAGGGUUCGAUUCCCUGCUGCUCCACAA